RNAcentral lists this ribosomal RNA (490 nucleotides) under uncultured bacterium. RNAcentral's name for it is "partial 16S ribosomal RNA". It matches the Rfam family "Bacterial small subunit ribosomal RNA", at positions 30 to 507 of the family's 1533-position model. The record is from RNAcentral.
AUUGAACGCUGGCGGCAUGCUUUACACAUGCAAGUCGGACGGCAGCACAGAGAAGCUUGCUUCUUGGGUGGCGAGUGGCGAACGGGUGAGUAAUAUAUCGGAACGUACCGAGUAAUGGGGGAUAACUAAUCGAAAGAUUAGCUAAUACCGCAUAUUCUCUGAGGAGGAAAGCAGGGGACCUUCGGGCCUUGCGUUAUUCGAGCGGCCGAUAUCUGAUUAGCUAGUUGGUGGGGUAAAGGCCUACCAAGGCGACGAUCAGUAGCGGGUCUGAGAGGAUGAUCCGCCACACUGGGACUGAGACACGGCCCAGACUCCUACGGGAGGCAGCAGUGGGGAAUUUUGGACAAUGGGCGCAAGCCUGAUCCAGCCAUGCCGCGUGUCUGAAGAAGGCCUUCGGGUUGUAAAGGACUUUUGUCAGGGAAGAAAAGGCUGUUGCUAAUACCGACAGCUGAUGACGGUACCUUAAGAAUAAGCACCGGCUAACUACGUG